AGAUUGAACGCUGGCGGCAUGCCUUACACAUGCAAGUCGAACGGCAGCACGGGAGCAAUCCUGGUGGCGAGUGGCGAACGGGUGAGUAAUACAUCGGAACGUGCCCAGUAGUGGGGGAUAACCCGGCGAAAGCCGGACUAAUACCGCAUACGACCUACGGGUGAAAGCAGGGGAUCGCAAGACCUUGCGCUAUUGGAGCGGGCCGAGUGUACGAGAUUAGCUUGUUGGCGGGGUAAAAGCCCACCAAGGCGACGAUCUGUAGC
RNAcentral lists this ribosomal RNA (263 nucleotides) under uncultured bacterium. RNAcentral's name for it is "partial small subunit ribosomal RNA". It matches the Rfam family "Bacterial small subunit ribosomal RNA", at positions 26 to 287 of the family's 1533-position model. The record is from RNAcentral.